GACGAACCGAGCGAACGUUGUUCGGAAUCACUGGGCUUAAAGGGCGCGUAGGCGGCUUGCCAAGUCAGGGGUGAAAUCUUUCGGCUCAACCGGAAAAGUGCCUCUGAUACUGGCAGGCUCGAGCGAGGUAGGGGCAUGUGGAACUUCCGGUGGAGCGGUGAAAUGUGUUGAUAUCGGAAGGAACACCGAUGGCGAAAGCAACGUGCUGGACCUCUUCUGACGCUGAGGCGCGAAAGCUAGGGUAGCGAACGGG
Molecule: ribosomal RNA, 253 nt
Filed under: uncultured bacterium
Lineage: Bacteria
Description: partial 16S ribosomal RNA
Rfam family: Bacterial small subunit ribosomal RNA
Source: RNAcentral